UAAAUAUACUUUAUUAAAGAAUAAAGAAUGACCGAAAAAAAAAAGAAAAAAAGAAAAGAAAAAUAACAAUCCAAAACCCCUUCUUGAAUAAACCCUCGUGUUUCCCUUCACUCGCUCUUCAAGCCUGCUCACUCAUCGAGUUUUUCUGUUCUGUGAAUUGAUUUUCUGGAGAAAAUGAACUUGGGGAACUCCAAAAACGCAAAAAUUUCCUCACCACCCAAACACAAUCCCCUCGAACUCAGCCUCCAACAAGCCUUCACCAACAUCCAAAAUCAUUGCUCUGGUUUCCUGCACCACCUCUCUCACUUUCCUGUCUUCAACCCCAACCCCUCUUCCCUCAAAACCCAACUCGAGUCCACCUUCGCCAACCUCCAAAACCAAGCAAAGCAUGCAUUCAAUACUGGGUUGUCAAGCUCUGUUCCCAAACAUUCUUCUGGGAAAACCCCAGUUUGGGCCCGAAUUGCGGUAAAUAACAAAACCCAGACCACCAAUUCUCCUGGUAAUGGGUCAAAAGCCGCCAUGUCUACCGAGGCAAUCGAAGAGCGGCUUGCUGGAGUGCCUGUUUAUGCUCUCAGUAAUGCCGCUGAGGAAUUCGUGUUGGUUUCGGGUGCUUCAAGUGGAAAGUCUCUUGGAUUGUUUUGUUUCAAGAAAGAGGAUGCAGAGGCACUUCUUGAGCAUAUCAGAAUUAUGGACCCCGGAAUGCGAAGCGGGUCUAAAGUGGUGGCCGUGGCUUUAAAUAAGGUUUUUCAGCUCAAGGUUGAUGGGGUAGCCUUCAGGUUGAUUCCUGAGUAUUCUCAAGUCAAGAACGCGCUUAAGGAGAAGGAAAAGGUUGGAACUUCUGAUGAUGAUGGCUUUCCCGGGGUGCCAGUUUUCCAGUCAAGGAGCUUGAUUCUUAGAAGCCAAAGCAAGAGCUAUCGUCCAGUGUUUUUCAGGAAGGAGGACUUGGAAAGUUCACUAUCAAGAGCUUCUCGCGAGCAGAAUCAAUUAAAUCCUGCCUUCAGACCUGGGGAUGUUCAGGUUGCUGUUCUUGAAGAAGUAAUAAAGGGGAUGAAGGAAGGUUCUACAUCAACGUGGGACGAUGUUGUUUUCAUCCCUCCUGGAUUUGAUAUCUCUACUGAUCCUACCAAGCAAUAGGAUAAUGCAAAGAGCAGGCAAUGGCGUUUUCGACAAGAAUAUUAGUCUAAUGCAAAACUUACAUAUGAUGAAUUUACUCUAGUAGGGAUUCGAUUUUGUGAUUGUAGCUGUGCGGAAAUCCUCUUCGGCAGUUUUCAAGCCCAUUUGUGUAGUCAGGCAUAUGAGUAUUGGAGGGCCCAAAUCCUACUUGAGGAUAAAGUUAUAUAUUAGUUCUUUUUUUAACA
RNA transcript from Prunus persica (peach), 1358 nucleotides. It is a transcript of the gene named protein TIC 22-like, chloroplastic, with no coding region annotated. The transcript has 8 exons. The record is from RefSeq and is a predicted model, not a curated record. Lineage: Eukaryota; Viridiplantae; Streptophyta; Magnoliopsida; Rosales; Rosaceae.